UGAAACUUCUUCGGAACAGGCCGGUUUAAAAUCUUAUCCUAUAUGGGCAAGGUUUCGAUUUCCCGGCCUCUCUCGGAGGUUUCA
Molecule: microRNA precursor, 84 nt
Organism: Ciona intestinalis (vase tunicate)
Lineage: Eukaryota; Metazoa; Chordata; Ascidiacea; Phlebobranchia; Cionidae
Source: Ensembl